Molecule: ribosomal RNA, 253 nt
Filed under: uncultured bacterium
Lineage: Bacteria
Description: partial 16S ribosomal RNA
Rfam family: Bacterial small subunit ribosomal RNA
Source: RNAcentral
UACAGAGGUCUCAAGCGUUGUUCGGAUUCAUUGGGCGUAAAGGGUGCGUAGGCGGCGCGGUAAGUCGGGUGUGAAAUCUUGGAGCUUAACUCCGAAACUGCAUUCGAUACUGCCGUGCUUGAGGACUGGAGAGGAGACUGGAAUUUACGGUGUAGCGGUGAAAUGCGUAGAUAUCAAGAGGAACACCUGCGGCGAAGGCGGGUUGCUGGGCCGACACUGACGCUGAGACGCGAAAGCGUGGGGAGCAAACAGG